This is a small nucleolar RNA of Pteronotus mesoamericanus, 216 nucleotides long. RefSeq annotates it as small nucleolar RNA U3. The transcript has a single exon. Lineage: Eukaryota; Metazoa; Chordata; Mammalia; Chiroptera; Mormoopidae. The record is from RefSeq and is a predicted model, not a curated record.
GAGACAAUACUUUUAGGGGUCAUUUCCGUACAGUUUGUUACUGGAGAAGUGUCUCUGAACGUGCAGAGCGCCGGCCACCACAGGGAGGAGGCACGGCAUUCUCUCCUGAGCGUGAAGCUGGCUCUGGGUGCUGCUUCUGCUGCUCUCAUUUGCCAUUGAUAAUCUAUCGUCCUUCUCUUCCUUUGGGAGAGUAGAGGGAGAAGAUGUCAUCUGAGU